This 88-nucleotide microRNA precursor is filed under the name Oryza sativa (Asian cultivated rice). RNAcentral describes it as "miR5340 stem-loop (osa-MIR5340)". The record is from miRBase by way of RNAcentral. Lineage: Eukaryota; Viridiplantae; Streptophyta; Magnoliopsida; Poales; Poaceae.
GAAAAUGAAAGUCUGAAGAUUUAUUCAUAUCAUCAUGAGUAAAUUAUUUUACUUGUGAUGACGUGGAUGAAUUUCAAACGUUUAUUUU